GGGGGCGAAACGGAUUCGACGGGGAUAUUGAAGCUUACUGUUGCAUGCCGAGUUUCUGUCAGCUCGUAAAAAUGACGGAACUAAAUAUAAUCGCAGACGAUUAUAACUACGCACUGGCAGCGUAAGCUGCUGUGCCGUUCCACUGGCCUUCGCCUGUAAGGCCAGAUUCGGGGCGUCGACUCAACAGGCUGGUCAACCGUGCGUGCCUGGAGCGCGGAUGAUAAGACUCUUCAGGCUGGCAUCCGAAUAUCCCGGUUCCGGGUGAGAAGCGGAUGCGAGAACUAAUCCCGGAACUAAGCAUGUAGAUACAUAAGGGGAGAAUUUUCGGACCCGGGUUCAACUCCCGGCGCCUCCACCA
This 358-nucleotide transfer-messenger RNA is filed under the name Chlorobium sp. It matches the Rfam family "transfer-messenger RNA". Rfam says of the family: Bacterial tmRNA, also known as 10Sa RNA or SsrA, is named for its dual tRNA and mRNA-like properties. Its role is to liberate the mRNA from a stalled ribosome. To accomplish this part of the tmRNA is used as a reading frame that ends in a translation stop signal. The record is from RNAcentral. Lineage: Bacteria; Pseudomonadati; Chlorobiota; Chlorobiia; Chlorobiales; Chlorobiaceae.